GGGCGAUUAGCUCAGAUGGAUAGAGCGCUGGCCUCCGAAGCCAUAGGCCGAGAGUUCGAGUCUCUCAUCGCCCACCA
This 77-nucleotide transfer RNA is filed under the name Candidatus Moduliflexus flocculans. Its description in RNAcentral is "tRNA-Arg". It matches the Rfam family "tRNA". Rfam says of the family: Transfer RNA (tRNA) molecules are approximately 80 nucleotides in length. Their secondary structure includes four short double-helical elements and three loops (D, anti-codon, and T loops). Further hydrogen bonds mediate the characteristic L-shaped molecular structure. tRNAs have two regions of fundamental functional importance: the anti-codon, which is responsible for specific mRNA codon recognition, and the 3' end, to which the tRNAs corresponding amino acid is attached (by aminoacyl-tRNA synthetases). tRNAs cope with the degeneracy of the genetic code in two manners: having more than one tRNA (with a specific anti-codon) for a particular amino acid; and 'wobble' base-pairing, i.e. permitting non-standard base-pairing at the 3rd anti-codon position. Lineage: Bacteria; Candidatus Moduliflexota; Candidatus Moduliflexia; Candidatus Moduliflexales; Candidatus Moduliflexaceae. The record is from RNAcentral. RNAcentral also lists the same sequence under 6 other names.